UCAUCUCCUGGUGCCUGUCCCGGUCUCUCCUCUGCUACUUCCUCUCUCAUGAUGCGUCUGCCCCUGCCCUGCUCUCAUCAUGUACUUAUGUACGUGUGCACCGGCCAAGGCGGACGCCCUGGUCGCCGUAGGAGAGCGCCUCACGGACUCCGGCCUUCAUUGCUGCAGCCUCCAACGUGGCCUUCACCACGGUCAGCAACCCCGACGUCUUCCGCUGCGCUUUGGCGGUGGACUGCCCACACGAAGAUGCACGGAGGGUGGCGAUGCGUGCAACGGCGGAUGCUUCCUCGGGGACUUGCCAUGGAUGGCGCAGCUCGCCGCCGUGGCCUACAUGGUGGAUGAGCUCCGAGGGUGCUUCGCUGGCAGACAGAUGAAGGAGGUCCGGCGUCGGCUGGUGGAAUACGCUACCAGCGGAGGCACAGCGAUGGCGCCCUCCUCUCCAUGCUCCCCGGCUUCGCAGCUUCAGGUCUAUACUAACGGAGGUGACAGUCCCCGACAACAACGACGUAGGGUGGCAUCCAAUGACGGGGCGCCGGGGAUCUUGGCCGGCAGGAGGUCGAGGAGGGAUGCGGCUAGCGGCGUCGAGCGCGAUGUACGAUUGGACGACACGGGACGCCGGCAGCCUGAACUGGCACGAGCUUGAGGCAUCAGCGACAGGAGCUGGGCGCGAGCGGCGUCAUGACCAGUUGACCACCAUUGACGAGCUGCUCCUCUCUACGGUUGGCGUUCCUUUACGCUGAUGCCCACCGCCACCUCUGCUGCCUGCGGCGACGCGCUUGCUCCUCCGCCGUGGCCACAGACUCGCAGAGGGAUUAGGUCACGCUGGUGAGUCUCUUGGACAUGCGCCCUGCGCCCAUUGUGAUGCGUUGCAUGCAUGCUUGUGGUUUGGGGGGCUACUGCUGGGUCUGCGUUCGUGCGCGGCUUGCAUGUGUUUUUCUGCGUGCAUGUGUGCUGUAUGCAGGGCUUGAUGCCAUUGUUUGCUACCUAUGUGCUGGAUUCAUUAAAAAAACAUGAGGGAUGCUGGAUUCAUUAAUUUGAUACUACUGUAACCCGUUUAAUGUCCAGCUAAUCUUUUGGUGAUUUAUUAGCUAAAGGCAAAAGUCUAAAAAAAACCUUGAUUUUGUUCUUCAAGUCUGAAUCAAACCUUGAACUGAGAAUCCCUGAAAUCAUCACCCUGUGUUUCUUAAUCCCGGUUAAUCCCAGCCCAUUAGUGCUAAUAGCUGGUUUGGGCGUUGGGAUUGCUGACGUGGCUAGGAUUAGGGUUAACUGGACGCGACGAUGAACUGACUGCGGGCCUCUUAAUCACAUAAGGUGCAGCGGCGGGGAAAGAACAGAGCUUUUUAUUGACGGGCAAAAACAGAGCUUCAGCAGGGGAACCAAAUUAGGGUCCGUCAGUAGGCUGGCUGGCUGGCGGCGACGGCGGCGGCGGCGGCGGCGGCGGCGACGGCGGCGGCGGCAACGACGGCGACGGCAACGGCGGCGGCUGCAAUCGGCGAUGUCUUCCUCCUCCCGCGUGUCGUAAUCAGGCGGAGGUCGCGGGCGUAGGGCUCCAUCAAGGUCGCCCGUGCAAGAAGUCUCCUCCCUGAAAGAUACUAGUGCUGCGUCCAUGAAAUUUGGCAUAGUGAUCCCUGCUCCCCAAUCCUUGCAGAAUUACUGCUCGAUCUCAGGGCUGCAAUCAGGAGGUUUGAAGCUGCAGGUGGUGAUGACUGGCAACCAUGAUUGGAACAGGGCCAAAGAAUUGGAACAGAGGAUGCACUGAGUCAACAAGUUCUGGAGAAGAAUGCAGAGAUUGAACCAAAAAUGUUAUUGGCAGGUGUAUUUACAGGAUUUGUACUGCAUUAAUAGCUAGAAGAAAAAUGUAAUGCCAAAAUCUUGUAAUGGCUGAAUGAUGUAAUGGUUGGAUGAUGUAAUGAUAUUCCAUGCUGCUAUUUAUGUGGUAAUUGAUGGUUCAUUUUGUUA
Molecule: long non-coding RNA, 1959 nt
Organism: Triticum aestivum (bread wheat)
Lineage: Eukaryota; Viridiplantae; Streptophyta; Magnoliopsida; Poales; Poaceae
Exons: 2
Source: RefSeq, a predicted model, not a curated record